GUGGGGAAUCUUGCGCAAUGGGCGAAAGCCUGACGCAGCCAUGCCGCGUGAAUGAUGAAGGUCUUAGGAUUGUAAAAUUCUUUCACCGGGGACGAUAAUGACGGUACCCGGAGAAGAAGCUCCGGCUAACUUCGUGCCAGCAGCCGCGGUAAUACGAAGGGGGCUAGCGUUGCUCGGAAUUACUGGGCGUAAAGGGCGCGUAGGCGGACAGCUUAGUCAGAGGUGAAAGCCCAGGGCUCAACCUUGGAAUUGCCUUUGAUACUGGCUGUCUUGAGUUUGUGAGAGGUGAGUGGAACUCCGAGUGUAGAGGUGAAAUUCGUAGAUAUUCGGAAGAACACCAGUGGCGAAGGCGACUCACUGGCCCAAUACUGACGCUGAGGCGCGAAAGCGUGGGGAGCAAACAGGAUUAGAAACCCGUGUAGUCC
RNAcentral lists this ribosomal RNA (425 nucleotides) under uncultured bacterium. Its description in RNAcentral is "partial 16S ribosomal RNA". It matches the Rfam family "Bacterial small subunit ribosomal RNA", at positions 354 to 796 of the family's 1533-position model. The record is from RNAcentral.